Non-coding RNA from Ralstonia pickettii 12J, 122 nucleotides. The record is from Rfam. NCBI's taxonomy places the organism in Bacteria, Pseudomonadati, Pseudomonadota, Betaproteobacteria, Burkholderiales, Burkholderiaceae.
GCAACCUGAAGCUGGCGAGCAACCAGCGCGCGGUGUUUCUCAGCCUGCUGGGCAUCUCGUGGCUCUGGUUCGUGGGCGCGACGUUCCUGACGUCGUUCUUUGCCUACGCGCGCAAUGUGCUC